RNAcentral lists this ribosomal RNA (405 nucleotides) under Sphingomonas sp. Its description in RNAcentral is "bacterial SSU rRNA". It matches the Rfam family "Bacterial small subunit ribosomal RNA", at positions 24 to 457 of the family's 1533-position model. Lineage: Bacteria; Pseudomonadati; Pseudomonadota; Alphaproteobacteria; Sphingomonadales; Sphingomonadaceae. The record is from RNAcentral.
UCAGAACGAACGCUGGCGGCAUGCCUAACACAUGCAAGUCGAACGAGACCUUCGGGUCUAGUGGCGCACGGGUGCGUAACGCGUGGGAAUCUGCCCUUAGGUUCGGAAUAACUCAGAGAAAUUUGAGCUAAUACCGGAUGAUGACGUAAGUCCAAAGAUUUAUCGCCUAGGGAUGAGCCCGCGUAGGAUUAGGUAGUUGGUGGGGUAAAGGCUCACCAAGCCGACGAUCCUUAGCUGGUCUGAGAGGAUGAUCAGCCACACUGGGACUGAGACACGGCCCAGACUCCUACGGGAGGCAGCAGUGGGGAAUAUUGGACAAUGGGCGAAAGCCUGAUCCAGCAAUGCCGCGUGAGUGAUGAAGGCCUUAGGGUUGUAAAGCUCUUUUACCCGGGAUGAUAAUGACAG